Molecule: ribosomal RNA, 808 nt
Filed under: uncultured bacterium
Lineage: Bacteria
Description: bacterial SSU rRNA
Rfam family: Bacterial small subunit ribosomal RNA
Source: RNAcentral
UAAACGCUAGCGGCGUGCCUUAUGCAUGCAAGUCGAGCGGUAUAUCGCAAGAUAUACAGCGGCAAACGGCUGAGUAACGCGUAAGCAAUCUAUCCCUAAGUGGGGAAUAAUCCACCGAAAGGUGGACUAAUACCGCAUGUGGUGGUGGAGGUAGGUUUCCACUACUAAAGCCUUCGGGCGCUUUGGGAGGAGCUUGCGUCCUAUCAGGUAGUUGGUGGGGUAACGGCUCACCAAGCCAAUGACGGGUAGCUGGUUUGAGAGGAUGUCCAGCCAGACGGGGACUGAGACACGGCCCCGACUCCUACGGGAGGCAGCAGCAAGGAAUUUUGCGCAAUGGGCGAAAGCCUGACGCAGCAACGCCGCGUGAGGGAAGAAGGCCUUCGGGUUGUAAACCUCUUUUGUUAGGGAAGAAUAAUGACGGUACCUAAUGAAUAAGUCAUGGCUAACUACGUGCCAGCAGCCGCGGUAAUACGUAGGUGGCAAGCGUUAUCCGGAUUCACUGGGCGUAAAGAGCGCGUAGGUGGUCCUUCAAGUCAGAUGUUAAAUCUCCUGGCUUAACUGGGAGCUGUCAUCUGAUACUGCUGGACUUGAGGGUGGUAGAGGGAGGUGGAAUUCCCGGUGUAGUGGUGAAAUGCGUAGAUAUCGGGAGGAACACCAGUGGCGAAAGCGGCCUCCUAGGCCACCCCUGACACUGAGGCGCGAAAGCGUGGGGAGCGAACAGGAUCAGAUACCCUGGUAGUCCACGCCCUAAACUGUGGAAACUAGGUACAGGGAGUAUCGACCCUUCCUGCGCCGUAGCUAACGCGUU